RNAcentral lists this transfer RNA (74 nucleotides) under Treponema sp. RNAcentral describes it as "tRNA-Ile". It matches the Rfam family "tRNA". Rfam says of the family: Transfer RNA (tRNA) molecules are approximately 80 nucleotides in length. Their secondary structure includes four short double-helical elements and three loops (D, anti-codon, and T loops). The record is from RNAcentral. Lineage: Bacteria; Pseudomonadati; Spirochaetota; Spirochaetia; Treponematales; Treponemataceae.
GGGCCUCUAGCUCAGUUGGUUAGAGCAGCGGACUCAUAAUCCGUCGGUCCCCGGUUCAAGUCCAGGGAGGCCCA